Molecule: long non-coding RNA, 293 nt
Filed under: Mytilus galloprovincialis (Mediterranean mussel)
Lineage: Eukaryota; Metazoa; Mollusca; Bivalvia; Mytilida; Mytilidae
Source: RNAcentral
CGCCCUUUUUUCAAAGAAAUUCCCUGUAAAAAUUUAUAAUAAAACAUCUGAAAUAUGUGCCGUCAUCUUUUCUGCUACUGAAAUCUUAUCAUCUAAUGAAAAUUUUAAAUAUCUUUAUAAGCAUCGCUUUUCCAAUCUCCGUACAAUUGAAUUAAUUCAGUAGGUACUUCGGCUGCAAAAGCCCAGCUAGCCCCCCCUCGCCUAAAACUAUGUGUAGAAUAUGAACAAGCAUCUAAACCAAUCUCAGUAAUUAACUGUCUCAAUAUUGUCUGAAAUUGUCUAUACGUGACAGG